Schistocerca serialis cubense is the source of this 2805-nucleotide long non-coding RNA. RefSeq lists it as uncharacterized. The transcript has 5 exons. The record is from RefSeq and is a predicted model, not a curated record. Lineage: Eukaryota; Metazoa; Arthropoda; Insecta; Orthoptera; Acrididae.
ACGAUUGACGUUAUUGGUCAAAGCCGACAGCGGACAGAUUAUAUUCCCUGCUUCAUUAGACCAGAAGUGCUACGCUCGUGACUGGCUUGACGAUAAUUUACGUCUUGUAAGCGUGUGUGGUCGGAUGUGCUCGAUAAAAUUCAAAACAAAAUUGUGAUACUUAAAUGUCUACUGGCAAUUUAUAGUUACGGCAGUUACAUGAAUUGUUCCUGUGAACACGACCCUAUUCCAGGAAGUGAACAUUGGUGAACGUUAAUUAUUAGCCCAUUUGUCGCUUCCUCGUGUUGCCGGGAAGGAAGACCCACUGGUUGAUUUCGCUCCUGUUUAUAAGUUCCCUGCAGCACAAACCAAAUCGGAGAAGUUGACGCCUGUGAACAUUAAUCGUCAGCCUAUUUGUUGCCGCAAUGGAAGAAUCGCUGGACGCUUCGUUGCCGGUCGACACGAAUCACUUUACUCCAGACCAGUUUGAACCGACAGACUUGGUGGAGUGGUAAAACGUAAACCAAAUGCUGUGCCAACAAUUUUUGGUGAUCGUAAAGCUCCUGCCGAGAGGAAACCUGUUGGCCUACUGGAGAAACGUACUGAGGAUACAGAGGUUGGAGAGCCUUCGAAUGUGACCAAUGACGUCAGUCCUGCAGCGAACUUGGACACGACAGAAGAUGAAGUCACCACCCUGAAGAACCUAGCUUCAGGCUGGAACUGAAGCUUUCAAGAGAAAACUCACCCUCUCUCAGAAAAGGGAGAGAAGAGUGUCUUUAGAAAAAGACAGCCUCUUUGCGAGUCUGCACGGUUUAUUCGGUGCAGAUCAGUUUGUAGUAUGAGUGAAGGGGACACGUUAGGGGGGCAAAUGGUCAGUGGAAAGGGCUAAAAAUUCGACCACCUUGUAGUAGUAUGGGGUACAAAGUCCUGCUGGAAAAUAAGUUACCAUUUCCUUCAGAUAGAACCCCAAUAUGUUCGCUACAGACCAUAAAAUUUAGACCUGGUGUGCCGAGGGAGCUCGUGAGUUUCCUGAAAGUCAAGCUUGCCCUCAUGUUACCAGUGGAGAUGCAUCCUGUUCUCCUGAUGGACGAGGUUAGUAUCACUCACCAUUGGAAUGUGGUUGAGCAUUGGCUGCACCAUUGAUAAUGAUACGACACCUCCACCAGAUCUCGCCCUUGCAAAAACUAUAGCUUCUAAUGCAUCAGUUGUUAUGCUGGGUGGUAUUACCUCAAGAUGGAAACAAACAAUAGGUUACCAUUACACAGGGCCAUCUUUUUCCAGUUCUCACCCCAGACAUUACUAUAAGCUUUAUUAGGGAAUCUUAGGCACUCGUACAAUGUUCGCUGCAUCGCGUCAGUGACGGGAGGGCAGAAUUGAGCUGUAUGGCGAGAAUUUGGAAUUGUUGUCGAAAGGUUUUCAAAAUUAGUUUCUGCCAGUGUCUUUGUGAUGAUAAUUGGAAACUAAUUUUCCUCACAGAUACACCACACAUUUUGAAAAAACGAGGAUUCACUUAGUCAAUGGGCAAUCGGUCUUCCUCUGACGAAAUGUUGUCAAGGGACAUGAUCUGCCUUGUAAUGAGGUACAUAUAAAUCGUGUAUAACAGUGGCUUGAGGUAGACAGUGGUUUAAGUCUUAAACUGGCACCAAAACUGUGUGAGGGAUGUCUGAGGCCAAACCAUUACGAGAAAAUGAAAGUUGGCUCAUCUACUGCCAUAAUUAACAGCCAGACUGCAGCAGCCAGUGAGUGUGCUGUAAAGACAGAGAAACUGCAGAAAAAUACUUUAACCACAGCACAGUUGCUAAAGCACGUUCGUGAGUGGUCUUGCCUCAUGACAUCCAGAGCUCCAGUUAUGCCUCUGAGUCGUUCUGAUCAACAAACAUACAGUGAGGCUCUCUGCCAUCUUCAGGACACUCUGUGAUUAUUUGAAAACUUGAAAAUUGGUCUGAACAGUGCCUGGAAACCAGUUCAGUGUGGUGUAGUUUUGACAGCUGGAGGUAUUUUGGAAUUGCAGAACACAUUCCUGAAUGAGAAGAAAUUUAAAUUUUUGCUAAUAACUAGAUAUAGACAAGAUACCUUGAAAAAUCUGUUAGCAAUGCUCCACUUCAAAAAUCCAGUACCAACACUAUGAGAAGUAAAAUCGUCACUGAGGGUUAUUACUCUUUCUCAGUUCUUUAAUACUGUCACUGAUAUUGUGCUGAGGAAGUUGGUGAGCCACUUUGUAACAUGGUGUGUGGUCACACUGUCAGGCAGGGUAUGAAGUCUCAUGCACUUUGUUAAUUUUUCGAGGAGCGCCUAAUAGCGUGCAAAGAAAAUCUCUGUACCUGUGUGAACGUGCUUUUACAUAUGAAGUCCUUCACGGAUACCUCACUUAUUGAGCCAUCAAGUGAGGUUUUCAGUGUGUUGCGAAAGGCAGAGAUGUGUUUGAGAAGCAACAAGAAGAAAUUACUCUCAGGUGAAUUGUUGCUCUGUGAUGUAGCCACUGCCGUGCCUGCAUCAGUGAAGGAGAAAGUAGUUUUCCCAGCCUGCCACAGUGCACAGGAGAAAAUAAUUCACAGUUUCCUGGCAACAAGAAUUCAUCUGGUUCCAAGGGAGGGAAAUAAAAUAUAUCAGGGUGUAGUGACACAAAGCAGUAGAAGCAGGCCAUGAGAAAGUUACUGCAGAAACUGUGAUUUCCAAAAUCACUCUUUAGUAAAUGAUUUGAAAAAUUGACAUUCAAACUUCAUUUGGUUGCCAUUUUCUCUUAAAGUGGUCUCAUUAUUGUUUCAAUCACAGUGAUUUUUAUAAAUUUUUGUUCUAUGUUUCUUUCUGAGUAUGGAGUAUUUUUAU